UACCAGCACCCCGAGUGGUCGGGACGUUUAUUGGGCCUAAAGCAUCCGUAGCCGGUUCUACAAGUCUUCCGUUAAAUCCAGCUGCUUAACAGAUGGGCUGCGGAAGAUACUAUGGAGCUAGGAGGCGGGAGAGGCAAGCGGUACUCGAUGGGUAGGGGUAAAAUCCGUCGAUCCAUUGAAGACCACCAGUGGCGAAGGCGGCUUGCCAGAGCGCGCUCGACGGUGAGGGAUGAAAGCUGGGGGAGCAAACCGG
RNAcentral lists this ribosomal RNA (253 nucleotides) under uncultured bacterium. Its description in RNAcentral is "partial 16S ribosomal RNA". It matches the Rfam family "Archaeal small subunit ribosomal RNA", at positions 474 to 727 of the family's 1478-position model. The record is from RNAcentral.